GCCCACGCAGGCUGCUAGCAGGCAACUCCAUCCCACCUGCCACUCAGCAGCUGAACAGUCAACGAGGCAGACCUCUAGCUCGCUGCCCCAGCGCCCUUCCUGGCUACGGAGAGGAAAUGAGGCACUCCCUAAGCUAGGGGGCUGUCUGAGCAUUAAGUCUGAUAAUGGUCAGCACAGAGCCCAGAGUUUAGCAAGUGCUGAAUAGCCAGUAGCUGUAACCAUCACUGCAAAUACUGGAUGCAGCCACCUGCCACCAGAAGCAUAAGCAUGUCUCCAUCUCAAAAAAGACCCCCAAAACCUGAAA
Long non-coding RNA from Pipistrellus kuhlii (Kuhl's pipistrelle), 304 nucleotides. RefSeq lists it as uncharacterized. The transcript has 2 exons. Lineage: Eukaryota; Metazoa; Chordata; Mammalia; Chiroptera; Vespertilionidae. The record is from RefSeq and is a predicted model, not a curated record.